RNAcentral lists this ribosomal RNA (253 nucleotides) under uncultured bacterium. RNAcentral's name for it is "partial 16S ribosomal RNA". It matches the Rfam family "Bacterial small subunit ribosomal RNA", at positions 524 to 776 of the family's 1533-position model. The record is from RNAcentral.
UACGAGGGGUGCAAGCGUUGCUCGGAAUUAUUGGGCGUAAAGGGUAGGUAGGUGGUCUCAUUUGUCUGGGGUGAAAGCCUUGAGCUUAACUCAAGAAGUGCCCUAGAAACGGUGAGACUAGAGUCCUGGAGAGGGUCGUGGAAUUCCCGGUGUAGCGGUGAACUGCGUAGAGAUCGGGAGGAACACCAGAGGCGAAGGCGGCGACCUGGACAGGUACUGACACUCAACUACGAAAGCGUGGGGAGCAAACAGG